Spinacia oleracea (spinach) is the source of this 3948-nucleotide RNA transcript. It is a transcript of the gene named disease resistance protein SUMM2, with no coding region annotated. The transcript is spliced from 7 exons. The record is from RefSeq and is a predicted model, not a curated record. Lineage: Eukaryota; Viridiplantae; Streptophyta; Magnoliopsida; Caryophyllales; Amaranthaceae.
UUGGUUUAAUCUUGUAAAAUUACGAAGAUCCUUAACUUUUUUUUUUUUUUGAGAGAAUUGACCUAAGUUAUUUUCUCAACUCUCAGACCCAAAAUCCCAAAGAAUACAAUUACAAAUAACUGCCAAAAUCAUCAAUGUGUUUCAUACACUCACCGGAAUCGCCGGCGCCGGCGCCGUCGUAUUUGUCGGCGUUUACCUCGCCGGACACAACUUUUUCCUCUACCAUAUUUCAUAUCUGCUAUAAUUUGAUGAAUUGCAAAAUCAACAUUUUUCUAAUUCUAAAAAAUUGUCAUUUUUAGCAACAAUUCUUACUGUUUUUGUGGAAAUUGCAGCUAGCAUAUGAAUGGAGGCAGAAGUGUGUUCUGGAUACCGAGAAUAAGUUUUCAGGUGUUUUGUUUCAUUCUGAACUUCAUUUAUAAAUGGUAGAGACCAAUGGAAAUCUAAGGAAUUUCAUCUACAGCAUUCCCUAGAGCUGAGGUUCACUCUUAAGAAGUUACGUGCUACAACUGAGAGAUAAAGAACCAUGUUAGCGAACGAAGUUAUCACUCUUGGAGCCGCCAUUUUUGGAUUAUUGACAUCUAUUGCAGGCUCAACGGCUUGCUUUUACAAUUCUUAUAAAACAAGUAGAAUCAAUUUAUCAAUUUUGAAAGUUAAAGUGCAGAAUCUUGAGAUCUUGAUUCAAGAACUUCAACAGAAAUUGAAUGGGAUUGAUGUGCUUAAGCAUGAUCCUCGUGAAUGGAUUUCUAGAGCGAGAGAAUUCCUAGAAACGGUUAAUAUUUCGGAUCUCGAAAGCCGUCUUAACGAGAAUUGUGUUGGUGGGCAGCUACCCAACUUUUGCAGCCGAUUUGGUGCUCUGAAAUCAAUUGAAGAAAGUAAUCAUGGAUUGGAUGUGCUACUAGACAGUGGUAAAAACGUUUCUCGGGAAAUCAAGGUCAAAGGAUCUAUACAGCCAGAGGUGAACAUUGUAGGCAAUGCUAGAAAAGAAAUAAAAAAAAGGAUAUGGGAGCAGGUUUCACAAGCAGAAACAGCUGGAAUAGUGUGCAUUCAUGGUAUGACAGGUGUUGGCAAGACAGCUUUCGCUGCAGCAAUUCAUAAUAAAGCAUUGAAAGAGUUGACAGCUUUUGAGAACGUAAUUUGGGUGAAUGUUGAGAAUGGAUCAGGGCUCAAACAUAUUCAAGAAGAACUUGCUAGCAAGUUACAGGUACACCUUCCUGGCACUACAGUUAAUAAAGAAACUUUGAGGAGUGCUUUGAUGCAAAGAGGAAGAUUCCUGCUGGUUUUAGAUUCUAUGUGGCAAGCGUUUUCUCUCCAUGAUAUUGGAAUUCCAGAACCAGUUGCUGGCUCAAAGCUGAUAGUGACUUCAAAAACUUAUUCUGUCUGCAGAAAGAUCACGAAAAACAUCAAGAGUAGAGAAAUUUAUGAAAUAAAACCACUUUUGGAGGCUGAGGCUUGGGAUCUGUUUCAGGGGGAAGUAGGACCUAACAUUGUAAAUUUAGAAAGUGAAACAGUUUCUAUCGCUCAGCGUGCAGUAAAGAAUCUUGAUGGCCUUCCAUUGGCGAUUAAGUUGUUUGCUGAAACUCUCAGUGAAGUUCAUGAUGAUUACGGUAGUGGAAUCGAUGCUGCUUGGAAGGAUGAGUUAUUUUCAUUGAGUAGAUCAACAUCUCUACUUGGUAACAAGAGCCAAGAGUUAUUUGAUUGUUUCAAGUAUAGCUAUGAGUGCUUUGGAAAGACUUCAAUGUCAUGUUUCAUUUACUGUACUUUAUUUCCAGAGGGUUAUCUGAUUAAGCCAAAGGAGUUGAUAGACUAUUGGAUGUGGGAAGGGCUUUUAGGUCCUAUUUCAUCUCUAGGAGAAAGCAUGAGGUUGGGGAGGCAAACAUUGAACGAGCUUAAAUUUGCUCACCUUCUUGAGAGUGUGAAGAGUGAAAGCGGAGAAGAAUCAUUAAAGAUGAUUAAUUUGGUUCGACAUGUGGCGAUGGAUGCCAUUUCUAAGUCCGGCAAUCAUUUCUUCAUUAAGUGUGGACAAUCACUAGGUGAGUUUCCGUCAGCUUAUGAUUGGCCCGCCAAUACCGAGAGAGCCUCACUUGUGCAAAAUCAGUUGAGAGCUUUGCAGAACUCUCCUGAUUGCAAUAAACUCUCUACUUUGCUGCUGCAAGACAACCCCCUGAACUUAGUUCACCAUGAGAAUUUCUUUUCCAAGAUACGCAAUCUUCGAGUCCUUGACCUAUCCCGUACUAGCAUCUCAUCCCUACCAAAAUCUUUCUCUGGCUUGACAAACCUACACGCACUACUGCUGCGUAGUUGCAGAAACCUGAAACUUCUACCUUCCUUGUCCAACCUUCACAGAUUGAUUGUGAUUGACAUCUCUGAGACACCCUUAGAACAAGUUCCUGACGGGUUGCACAACUUGAUAAAUUUAAGGCGCCUAGAUCUUUCUAAAACUAAAAUUGAGGUGUUCCCGGCUACAGUACUUGGUAAACUAACUGAAAUGGAAGAAUUGUUACUGAUUACUGCAGAAAAUGGUGGUUAUGUGUGGGGGUCAAAUCUGAUAUUCCCACAAUGGCCAGGUGCUUGUAUUGAAGAACUUCUGGACUUGAAAAAGAUGGUUGUUCUUCAGCUAGCCUUCUUGAAUCCAGAAGUGUUUAAUAGAUUUGUGGACCAAGUAGAUGAUCAACAGCGUGCAAUUCAACUGCGCAGUUUUAAAUUUUACGUGGGUGGUAUCUACAGUGGUGGUGAUAUUGGUGAUAAUAGCGUAGUAGUAAUGGGUGACUGUAGUAUUAGGGUUCCCAGAGGAACAUCUGAGCUGUACUUGAUGAAGCACAGCCAGGAGCUACUCUCACUGAAGUUUGAUGGUUGCAUGCGCGACUUAACAAUUGUGGAUGUCUCGAGGUUUGAUGCACUGACUUAUCUGUUUACACUUGAGAUGCUAGGUAGCCUCAAAAGCCUCAAGAAGAUAUGUGUUAAACACUGUAAGAAGAUGAAAUCUGUAAUACAGCCAGCUGCAGAAGCCAACCCAACUUCUAUAACUAUUCCAAAGUUAACAAAUUUUAAGCUUUAUGACUUGCAAAAUUUAGAGAGCAUCUAUGAUGGGAAAGUACUGAGUUGCCCGUCUUUGCAUGGAUUUGAGGUUUUUAAUUGUAAAAAACUCAAGCUUCCUAAGGUCUUGGUGGGACGGCAAAAUUGUAUUAUUGAGAUUGUAGGAGAGAAAGAAUGGAUUGAUAAAGUGAUGGAGGAUGGUCCAAGCCCACAUUUAAAAUAUACUGAAGCAUUAGUGCCUGCAGAGCUGUCUACUCCCAGUUUUAGGUUAAGAAGGUCGGAGUCGUUUGUCAGCUUCAGGGAUACUCAUGAAGAUAGUGGGAGAAGUCUUGGAGCUACGAUUCCCCGUUGGCACAGAUUAUUUCACCCGUUUAGGGGUAGUGCGGUCUUUUCACCGGCUGCAGACACCCUCCAUAUUGCCAGCACCACCAGUAACGAUGCAAUAUCCGAGGUUUCUGUUCUUCCACAUGCAGAAGCUGGUACAUCGCAAAGAGGGUUUAACAGAACCCGCAGCAGUCGCUCUGAUUGACCGUCUUUUGUCGGGAAAUUGAUUUUGGCAAACCCCUUGUGAGUAGAGCAUGGAAAACUGUCAGUGGCGUGCCAAAAUCAUUUCCCUUUUUUAUUGGCUAAACUUAGCCAAGUCUUCAUGUAUCCUAAAAUGGUUAGUAUCAUUACGUGUUAUUUCCUCUGCUAUUGUGUACAAUGCUUGUUGUACAUAUGGGGUAGGCUGGCCUGCUGGAUCAAACCUCGAGGAUUCAGGCGCCGCGCGGGCGGUCAAAAGACCCGUCCGUGACAGAGUGUUGUAAAAAUAAGCUCCUAAUCGAACGAGUUAUAAAAAAUGACACGAAUUGUUAUUUUUAUUAAAUUUCUCAUAAGGUUUUUAUUUUUCACAAAUGGGAGUGUUGUUUUAGAUGG